Molecule: small nuclear RNA, 106 nt
Filed under: Catagonus wagneri (Chacoan peccary)
Lineage: Eukaryota; Metazoa; Chordata; Mammalia; Artiodactyla; Tayassuidae
Source: RNAcentral
GCACUCGCUUCGGCAGCACAUAACUAAAAUUGGAACAAUACAGAAAGGAUUAGUAUGGCCCCUGCACAAGGAUUACAGGCCAAUUCGUGAAGCAUUCCAUAGUUUA